Molecule: ribosomal RNA, 253 nt
Filed under: uncultured bacterium
Lineage: Bacteria
Description: partial 16S ribosomal RNA
Rfam family: Bacterial small subunit ribosomal RNA
Source: RNAcentral
UACAUGGGGUGCAAACGUUGCUCGGAAUUAUUGGGCGUAAAGAGCUCGUAGGCGGUCUGUCGCGUCUGCUGUGAAAACUCAGGGCUUAACCCUGAGCUUGCAGUGGGUACGGGCAGACUAGAGUGCGGUAGGGGAGACUGGAAUUCCUGGUGUAGCGGUGAAAUGCGCAGAUAUCAGGAGGAACACCGGUGGCGAAGGCGGGUCUCUGGGCCUGUCCUGACGCUCAGGCGCGAAAGCUAGGGGAGCAAACAGG